UGGUGCAAUUUGAAAAAUUGG
Molecule: non-coding RNA, 21 nt
Filed under: Caenorhabditis elegans
Lineage: Eukaryota; Metazoa; Nematoda; Chromadorea; Rhabditida; Rhabditidae
Source: RNAcentral